CAGCUUCAUGUUAUGGUCAGAAAGGCAAAAGUUUUUAAUGAGGAAGAACAGACAAUAUAGGAGAAGCUGCAGCAGCUUGGUUUUGCCUGUGCCUAUGAGGAAUGAUUUUAGCCAAUGCUGAGAACUCUCACCAACUCACAGCAAGUUCGGAAACAGAACAGAACAGGAGGGGAUCUCAAUCAGAUGAAAAUACAGUUGUUUAUUUAGAAAGCCAGCAGCCUGAGAAGAAAUUCACAUUCCAAGAGAUUCUGGGGUCCAGAAAAAAAGAUGUAACACAAGAUGUGCAAGUUUUCCAUGUCCAGAUGACAUCCACCUCUGAGAAGAAACAACUGACUUACAACUGAUUUUAUGAACUAUUUAAUAAUGUACAGUACUAACUGGACAUAAAGGAGAACAUGGAAAAGUUACUUUUUGGACUACAGCUCUUGGAAUUAACCAAGCUACAGGCUGUGCUGACUCCUACAGAGAGC
Molecule: long non-coding RNA, 470 nt
Organism: Sceloporus undulatus (fence lizard)
Lineage: Eukaryota; Metazoa; Chordata; Lepidosauria; Squamata; Phrynosomatidae
Exons: 3
Source: RefSeq, a predicted model, not a curated record